Molecule: transfer RNA, 44 nt
Filed under: Bos taurus (domestic cattle)
Lineage: Eukaryota; Metazoa; Chordata; Mammalia; Artiodactyla; Bovidae
Description: partial tRNA-Trp
Source: RNAcentral
AGGAAUUUAGGUUAAACAGACCAAGAGCCUUCAAAGCCCUAAGC